This 470-nucleotide ribosomal RNA is filed under the name uncultured bacterium. RNAcentral describes it as "bacterial SSU rRNA". It matches the Rfam family "Bacterial small subunit ribosomal RNA", at positions 28 to 495 of the family's 1533-position model. The record is from RNAcentral.
GACGAACGCUGGCGGCGUGCCUAACACAUGCAAGUCGAACGGAACUGUUUUGAAAGAUUUCUUCGGAAUGAAUUUGAUUUAGUUUAGUGGCGGACGGGUGAGUAACGCGUGAGUAACCUGCCUUCAAGAGGGGGAUAACAUUCUGAAAAGAAUGCUAAUACCGCAUGACAUAUCGGAACCACAUGAUUCUGAUAUCAAAGAUUUUAUCGCUUGAAGAUGGACUCGCGUCCGAUUAGUUAGUUGGUGAGGUAACGGCUCACCAAGACCGCGAUCGGUAGCCGGACUGAGAGGUUGAACGGCCACAUUGGGACUGAGACACGGCCCAGACUCCUACGGGAGGCAGCAGUGGGGGAUAUUGCGCAAUGGGGGCAACCCUGACGCAGCAACGCCGCGUGAAGGAUGAAGGUUUUCGGAUUGUAAACUUCUUUUAUUAAGGACGAAAAUUGACGGUACUUAAUGAAUAAGCUCCG